RNAcentral lists this ribosomal RNA (165 nucleotides) under uncultured bacterium. RNAcentral describes it as "partial 16S rRNA". It matches the Rfam family "Bacterial small subunit ribosomal RNA", at positions 355 to 511 of the family's 1533-position model. The record is from RNAcentral.
UAGGAAAUCUUCGGCAAUGGACGAAAGUCUGACCGAGCAACGCCGCGUGAGUGAAGAAGGUUUUCGGAUCGUAAAACUCUGUUGGUAGAGAAGAGCGUUGGUGAGAGUGGAAAGCUCAUCAAGUGACGGUAACUACCCAGAAAGGGACGGCCAACUACGUGCUAG